GUGCCAGCAGCCGCGGUAAUACAGGGGGUGCAAACGUUGCUCGGAAUUAUUGGGCGUAAAGCGCGCGUAGGCGGCUACUUAUGUCGGAUGUGAAAGCCCUUGGCUCAACUGAGGAAGUGCACCCGAAACUGAGUAGCUGGAGUACGAAAGAGGGUCGCGGAAUUCCCGGUGUAGAGGUGAAAUUCGUAGAUAUCGGGAGGAACACCGGUGGCGAAGGCGGCGACCUGGGUCGAUACUGACGCUGGAGCGCGAAAGCGUGGGGAGCAAACAGGAUUAGAAACCCCGGUAGUCC
RNAcentral lists this ribosomal RNA (292 nucleotides) under uncultured bacterium. RNAcentral describes it as "partial 16S ribosomal RNA". It matches the Rfam family "Bacterial small subunit ribosomal RNA", at positions 505 to 796 of the family's 1533-position model. The record is from RNAcentral.